CUACGGGGGGCACCAGUGGGGAAUCUUAGACAAUGGGCGCAAGCCUGAUCUAGCCAUGCCGCGUGAGUGACGAAGGCCUUAGGGUCGUAAAGCUCUUUCGCUGGGGAAGAUAAUGACGGUACCCAGUAAAGAAACCCCGGCUAACUCCGUGCCAGCAGCCGCGGUAAUACGGAGGGGGUUAGCGUUGUUCGGAAUUACUGGGCGUAAAGCGCGCGUAGGCGGAUCAGAAAGUUGGGGGUGAAAUCCCGGGGCUCAACCCCGGAACUGCCUUCAAAACUCCUGGUCGUGAGUUCGAGAGAGGGGAGUGGAAUUCCGAGUGUAGAGGUGAAAUUCGUAGAUAUUCGGAGGAACACCAGUGGCGAAGGCGGCUCACUGGCUCGAUACUGACGCUGAGGUGCGAAAGCGUGGGGAGCAAACAGGAUUAGAUACCCUCGUAGUC
This 439-nucleotide ribosomal RNA is filed under the name uncultured bacterium. RNAcentral describes it as "partial 16S ribosomal RNA". It matches the Rfam family "Bacterial small subunit ribosomal RNA", at positions 339 to 795 of the family's 1533-position model. The record is from RNAcentral.